This 253-nucleotide ribosomal RNA is filed under the name uncultured bacterium. RNAcentral's name for it is "partial 16S ribosomal RNA". It matches the Rfam family "Bacterial small subunit ribosomal RNA", at positions 524 to 776 of the family's 1533-position model. The record is from RNAcentral.
UACGAAGGGGGCUAGCGUUGUUCGGAAUCACUGGGCGUAAAGCGCACGUAGGCGGAUUGUUAAGUCGGAGGUGAAAUCCUGGGGCUCAACCCCAGAACUGCCUUCGAUACUGGCGAUCUUGAGUGUGGAAGAGGUUGGUGGAACUCCGAGUGUAGAGGUGAAAUUCGUAGAUAUUCGGAAGAACACCAGUGGCGAAGGCGGCCAACUGGUCCACUACUGACGCUGAGGCGCGACAGCGUGGGGAGCAAACAGG